This is a long non-coding RNA of Eublepharis macularius, 605 nucleotides long. RefSeq lists it as uncharacterized. The record is from RefSeq and is a predicted model, not a curated record. The transcript is spliced from 2 exons. Lineage: Eukaryota; Metazoa; Chordata; Lepidosauria; Squamata; Eublepharidae.
UCAAGAGAAGGAAGUGAGAUUGCAAUGGUUACGAGCUCUCUUUCGCUGGUGCGGGUGCACGGGGCAUCUUCCGUGCAAUACAGCAAGAGAAUUUCUGGUGCGUGUGGGAUGGAAGCGAAGGUUUGCUAACGGCUGCUAUUUCGUUAGUAUACACAGAGAAGAUAGUUUCAGGAGAUGGCCAAGGUCCCUUCCCUCGUCGUCCCGUAUUGGCCGGAGUCCUAGUUUUUGACACAUGAAAGACAAAAAUAUAACAAAAAAAAUCCCGCGCCAUGUAGGCCCGCCUUCUCCACCAUCUCUCUCUGCGCCGAACCCGUUUGCAGAAUCUUUCCCGGUUUAAAGGGGGGUGACGAUUUCUCCUUCCCUCCUGCAACUAACCACCACCAGACCAGAGCAACUGCAUCAAUAAUUACCAUCCUCUAAAGACAGCACCGCUGCCCAAUCGAACCUCGAUUCCUGCUCCACCUCUCCGCUCUGCUACCCAAUGGCAGGCUGAAAGCAGAGAGCCGGAAGAGAGAAGCGACAGGGGGAAAUGAGUGGCAUGCGCAAAUCUGGGCCGUAGGCGAGGAGAAAAUGGAGGUGAACAAAUAAACUACAUUUCCCUACAA